Nothobranchius furzeri (turquoise killifish) is the source of this 1948-nucleotide non-coding RNA. The record is from RefSeq and is a predicted model, not a curated record. NCBI's taxonomy places the organism in Eukaryota, Metazoa, Chordata, Actinopteri, Cyprinodontiformes, Nothobranchiidae.
AGUACAAAGGCAGUUACACUGCAAACUAGUAACAUAAAUUAGGUUAUAGUCACAAGCCCAUGACUUUUCCCUGAAUGCUUAUUUAGAGCAGCUGAUUUUUAAAGUUAGCAGAGUUAAUCUUUGGUAGUGGGUUCACUCACUCAUUUAAAGAUAUCGGCCAGAGGCAAAAUUUCUUUGAAAAGCAUGUGUAAAUGUGUAUUAAAAUCUCAGAUGAAAAAGGUUUUUGGAUUUUGACGGCUGGAAUUGUAAGAAAAUCUGAUGUUUGUGACCGGCGCAGGAAAAACAGAAGCUAACUUCCGGUCUAAGCCCUGGGCAGCAGUUGACGUUUCACAUGGAGCUCUGCUGAAACAGCUGUAGUAAACAACGCCUGACUCCGCUGUUUCUUCGUUAGCGUUAUAGCAGAGAACAAUGUGUCAUCAAUCAGAUGUAGCUUCUGAAGCCUCUACUAGUCCAUCAGAUUUGUUUUUUCUCUGGGAUACGGCGACGAGAACGGAUAUUAGAUUACUGGAGAAGUUCAACUGAACUCCGACCCCGCCAGCUGGAUAUCACUACCAGAGGUGCAGACAUGUUUUAGACCGUUUGACUCAGAAGACCUGCAACCUGAUUUGGACAUAGAGGAGGAUUCUGUUCAUCUUCAGAACCAAAAUCGGUACAGUUUGUUUACUUUUCUUAAAUAUUUCAUUUCUGUGCUCCACUGGGAGCUCUAAGCUAACAAGUUUUCAGCUGGUUUUAGCUUCAUCAUGUGUCCCAAUAUAAUUCAGUAAUCUACAGUUUUACUGCUGUGUGUAUUUAUUGACAUAACUCUGAAAAAUAAUGAACCUACAAUUUACCAGAAUAAAUCUUCCUGAUUCUGGAGUAACUCCUUAGCUCAACUCAUUGUUUGCACUAAUCCGGGAUGUCAUGGAGGUUCUAAUGUUGAAAUAUAGAGAUCAUCUUUUAGAUUAUAUCUGUGUGUGUGUGUGUGUGUGAGUGCGUGCGUGCGUGCGUGUGUGUCGUAGCUUUCCCAAAGGACUUGUUCUUUCCUUACCGGAGCGAACACGGUUAGUUUUGCUGCAGUCAUGCUAACGGGACUCGUCUGGAGUCCAGAAGUAGCGGUGCGGUUCUAGAUGGAUUUAUAGAUGUAGGUUAUUAUUUUAGAUCAGACCUGUUAUUUAAAAAUGCGUGUAGGACACAGACACAUGGCUCAGACCUUUUGCUGCAGCUGUAAACCAUAGACUGUACAUACUGGACAAACGGAUUCCAUUGGCUUCAAUAACACGUUUGUUGUCUAUAAUGGGAGGUGGCCACCACCGCCAUUUUGACCGUGUCACAGGUUCCGUCCAGCCCAGACAAUUCCAUAAAAGGGAAGAGAGGAGGUGCUGAGGGUGUGGCUGUAAGGCUGGGCUCGAGUGACGACACCCAGGCGAACUAGCUACGAGCUAACCUGAAGCUAACCCUGGCUAACCCAAAGCUAAAGCGGAGGUGGGAGCCGAGCUAACGGAUGUAGCCACCUAGCUUCAACCCAACCGGAGCUAACUGGAACACCCAUCGACCUGAACCUCACACGGAGUUUAGGUGGAGGUUUUCUGCGCCUGUUCGUGAGAAGUACCUGUAUUAAAAAAGUUUUAAAUCGAUCUAUUAAAAGGUCACCAUGGCAGCCUGUGUGUCAACGUCAGCUACACAAAGCAAGUGUAAGUACCAAGUACUUGUCUUGACCACUUCAUGAAUGGUUUUGUACUCUAAACAGCUAGGCCAAACCUGUUAUUUUUUCCUCCAUAGCCAUUUGGAUCAUUGGAGACAGCUGAGUGAGGCGUGGUGCCCAGAGAGCUGCAGAGACAACCUUGGCCUCCCUGACGUCUGUGUCUCUUGGUUUGGUUGGGGCGGACCAUCGACAUACAUACAUACAUGUGCCGACACUUUGCGCCCUGUUUUAUAAACUGUAGUGUUAAAAAUAAAUGUUUUUGCUCAA